GGCCGUCUAGCUCUGUCGGUAGAGCGCAAGGCUCUUAAACUUGUGCUCCUGGGCUUAAGCCCCAGGGUGGGCA
Transfer RNA from Ipomoea nil (Japanese morning glory), 73 nucleotides. It matches the Rfam family "tRNA". From Rfam's summary of the family: Transfer RNA (tRNA) molecules are approximately 80 nucleotides in length. The record is from Rfam. Lineage: Eukaryota; Viridiplantae; Streptophyta; Magnoliopsida; Solanales; Convolvulaceae.